AUCACGUGACUCCGUUUGACCAAUCCAACGUAAGCAGUGUAGUGACGUUGGACUGCAUUUCACCAAGCAAACAAGCACGAAGUACAGCUGCAUGAAGCUUCAAAUAGCGCCACCCACUCGCGCCCACCCUCCACCCAGAACAAUAUUGAGCCGUUCCCGGGCCUCUCAGGGAAGCCAAAGGCAGAGCAGCUCGAAUUAGUGACACUUAUUAUUCCCACUAAUGAGUCCCGAUCUCAAAGGCAACAAAACUCCGAUGUUUACUUGGACUUUGGGAGAAGUGCAGCUUGUCAGAAAAUCAUCUUGACCUUGCAGAGGACUGUUUCAACUGGAAAGAUCGAAGGUCAAAAGGUCGGAAUUACGCUGCCAGGGUUCAUUGUGGAAGGGGUGGUGUUGGGGGCUUAAAACUGACCAGGCUCCUGGCGUCAAAAACACUCAAAUCUGCUCCAGGCAGCCGUGAAAAGUUUAUUUGUGCUGUAGGAAAUGCUCCGAAGGUGGCGUGGAUCAAGGUGGGGGUGGGGGAGUUAAUUUGCCAGAAGGUAUUCCUUCAAAUCUUUGGUUAAAACGGUCUAAAAUGGCGAAUCUACACACAAAACAUGACGUAUUUGUUCCUAAAUACGAAAUAAUAACCAAUUAAAACCAUUAAAAAUGCCUUUUUAGAGCCUUCACUUGUUUUAGCUUAAAGGCCUACUGAAAUGAGAUUUUCUUAUUUAAACGGGGAUAUUCUAUGUGUCAUACUUGAUCAUUUCGCGAUAUUGCCAUAUUUUUGCUGAAAGGAUUUAGUAGAGAACAUCCACGAUAAAGUUCGCAACUUU
Nerophis ophidion (straightnose pipefish) is the source of this 812-nucleotide long non-coding RNA. RefSeq lists it as uncharacterized. Lineage: Eukaryota; Metazoa; Chordata; Actinopteri; Syngnathiformes; Syngnathidae. The transcript is spliced from 4 exons. The record is from RefSeq and is a predicted model, not a curated record.